UCAAACUUGGUCAUUUAGAGGAAGUAAAAGUCGUAACAAGGUCUCCGUUGGUGAACCAGCGGAGGGAUCAUUACCGAGUUUACAACUCCCAAACCCAAUGUGAACAUACCCAUAUCGUUGCCUCGGCGGGAUCGCCCCGGGCUUGCCUCUGUGCCCCGGAACCAGGCCCCCGCCGGAGGACCCCAAACUCUUGUUUUAUUAUGGUCUCUUCUGAGUUUGUUUUCCCCCCUAGUGGGAUCGAAAAUUCAAUCAAAACUUUCAACAACGGAUCUCUUGGCUCUGGCAUCGAUGAAGAACGCAGC
This 302-nucleotide unclassified non-coding RNA is filed under the name uncultured fungus. RNAcentral's name for it is "partial contains small subunit ribosomal RNA, internal transcribed spacer 1, and 5.8S ribosomal RNA". The stretch from base 1 to 73 matches the Rfam family "Eukaryotic small subunit ribosomal RNA", at positions 1759 to 1831 of the family's 1831-position model. The record is from RNAcentral. Lineage: Eukaryota; Fungi.